CGGUGUUUAACUGGCGUGAUGUGGGACGUCCUACCGGUGGGCUUAGCCUCGCGAGGGGCGGCCCAACUAAUAUCCCGUCGCGGUGCUCUUUACUGAGUGUCGAGUCGGGCCGGUACGUUUACUUUGAACAAAUUAGAGUGCUUAAAGCAGGCUAUCCUCGCCUGAAUACUGCGUGCAUGGAAUAAUGGAAUAGGACCUCGGUUCUAUUUUGUUGGUUUUCGGAACCCCGAGGUAAUGAUUAAUAGGGACAGAUGGGGGCAUUCGUAUUGCGACGUUAGAGGUGAAAUUCUUGGAUCGUCGCAAGACGGACAGAAGCGAAAGCAUUUGCCAAAAAUGUUUUCAUUAAUCAAGAACGAAAGUUAGAGGUUCGAAGGCGAUCAGAUACCGCCCUAGUUCUAACCAUAAACGAUGCCAGCUAGCGAUCCGCCGAAGUUCCUCCGAUGACUCGGCGGGCAGCUUCCGGGAAACCAAAGCUUUUGGGUUCCGGGGGAAGUAUGGUUGCAAAGCUGAAACUUAAAGGAAUUGACGGAAGGGCACCACCAGGAGUGGAGCCUGCGGCUUAAUUUGACUCAACACGGGAAACCUCACCAGGCCCAGACACCGGAAGGAUUGACAGAUUGACAGCUCUUUCUUGAUUCGGUGGGUGGUGGUGCAUGGCCGUUCUUAGUUGGUGGAGCGAUUUGUCUGGUUAAUUCCGAUAACGAACGAGACUCUAGCCUGCUAAAUAGGCGUACCUUAUGGUAUCGCGAAGGCCCCCGGCUUCGGCCGGUGGGUUUUUACUACCAACGUACAAACAAAUCUUCUUAGAGGGACAGGCGG
RNAcentral lists this ribosomal RNA (819 nucleotides) under uncultured eukaryote. Its description in RNAcentral is "SSU rRNA". It matches the Rfam family "Eukaryotic small subunit ribosomal RNA", at positions 629 to 1426 of the family's 1831-position model. The record is from RNAcentral.